This 467-nucleotide ribosomal RNA is filed under the name uncultured bacterium. Its description in RNAcentral is "partial 16S ribosomal RNA". It matches the Rfam family "Bacterial small subunit ribosomal RNA", at positions 28 to 507 of the family's 1533-position model. The record is from RNAcentral.
GACGAACGCUGGCGGCGUGCUUAACACAUGCAAGUCGAACGGAAAGGCCCUGCUUUUGUGGGGUGCUCGAGUGGCGAACGGGUGAGUAACACGUGAGUAACCUGCCCUUGACUUUGGGAUAACUUCAGGAAACUGGGGCUAAUACCGGAUAGGAGCUCCUGCUGCAUGGUGGGGUUGGAAAGUUUCGGCGGUUGGGGAUGGACUCGCGGCUUAUCAGCUUGUUGGUGGGGUAGUGGCUUACCAAGGCUUUGACGGGUAGCCGGCCUGAGAGGGUGACCGGCCACAUUGGGACUGAGAUACGGCCCAGUCUCCUACGGGAGGCAGCAGUGGGGAAUAUUGCACAAUGGGCGGAAGCCUGAUGCAGCAACGCCGCGUGCGGGAUGACGGCCUUCGGGUUGUAAACCGCUUUCGCCUGUGACGAAGCGUGAGUGACGGUAAUGGGUAAAGAAGCACCGGCUAACUACGUG